AUGGCAAAAUGUGACAAUGCUAGUCCUAGAACCAAACAGCCCCGUCAUUCCACACCAUGUGAUGCUAGGAGCGCCUCCCUUUCCUCCUCCUCCUCCCCCAACUUCCAAGAAGCAAUCAUGCUGCCUCGAGCACCUUGGGCCCUUCGCCAUCAUCACCACCACCUCCUCCUCUUUCCUCCGGCACCUACUUCCAAGGAGAGGCCGGGGGAGCUAUAG
This 216-nucleotide ribosomal RNA is filed under the name Triticum aestivum (bread wheat). Its description in RNAcentral is "partial small subunit ribosomal RNA". Lineage: Eukaryota; Viridiplantae; Streptophyta; Magnoliopsida; Poales; Poaceae. The record is from RNAcentral.